RNAcentral lists this ribosomal RNA (450 nucleotides) under uncultured bacterium. RNAcentral describes it as "partial 16S ribosomal RNA". It matches the Rfam family "Bacterial small subunit ribosomal RNA", at positions 354 to 796 of the family's 1533-position model. The record is from RNAcentral.
GUGGGGAAUAUUGGACAAUGGGCGAAAGCCUGAUCCAGCCAUGCCGCGUGUGUGAAGAAGGUCUUCGGAUUGUAAAGCACUUUAAGUUGGGAGGAAGGGCAGUAAGUUAAUACCUUGCUGUUUUGACGUUACCGACAGAAUAAGCACCGGCUAACUUCGUGCCAGCAGCCGCGGUAAUACGAAGGGUGCAAGCGUUAAUCGGAAUUACUGGGCGUAAAGCGCGCGUAGGUGGUUUUGUAAGUUGGAGGUGAAAUCCCCGGGCUCAACCUGGGAACUGCAUCCAAAACUGCUGAGCUAGAGUACGGUAGAGGGUGGUGGAAUUUCCUGUGUAGCGGUGAAAUGCGUAGAUAUAGGAAGGAACACCAGUGGCGAAGGCGACCACCUGGACUGAUACUGACACUGAGGUGCGAAAGCGUGGGGAGCAAACAGGAUUAGAAACCCCUGUAGUCC